RNAcentral lists this ribosomal RNA (253 nucleotides) under uncultured Eubacteriales bacterium. Its description in RNAcentral is "uncultured Clostridiales bacterium partial 16S ribosomal RNA". It matches the Rfam family "Bacterial small subunit ribosomal RNA", at positions 524 to 776 of the family's 1533-position model. Lineage: Bacteria; Bacillati; Bacillota; Clostridia; Eubacteriales. The record is from RNAcentral.
UACGUAGGGGGCAAGCGUUAUCCGGAUUUACUGGGUGUAAAGGGAGCGUAGACGGCAGGGCAAGUCUGGAGUGAAAGCCCGGGGCCCAACCCCGGGACUGCUUUGGAAACUGCCAUGCUAGAGUGCUGGAGAGGUAAGCGGAAUUCCUAGUGUAGCGGUGGAAUGCGUAGAUAUUAGGAGGAACACCAGAGGCGAAGGCGGCUAACUGGACUGUAACUGACGCUGAGGCACGAAAGUGUGGGGAGCAAACAGG